UCUAAUUUAGACCGUCUGAUCGCGUUUAAAUCUGACCGUCUGAUCACAUUUGGGGAGGGAACAUAUCCAGGCCGUCCGUGCACACGGGGAUGGAUCUGAGCCGUUCGAUCGCGGGCACGCAGAUCACCUGUGUGGCCUCUCGCGUGACAUCGCGUAAGCGUCUGUUGCCACGCAGCACACCCUGGUUCGUCAGGGCUGCUGACCGGGCAUCCUACGUGGCAAAACUUUACUAAAUUAUAUUUUGACCUUUGGUUU
This 255-nucleotide long non-coding RNA is filed under the name Carica papaya (papaya). Its description in RNAcentral is "long non-coding RNA (CPAP_LNC002348)". Lineage: Eukaryota; Viridiplantae; Streptophyta; Magnoliopsida; Brassicales; Caricaceae. The record is from RNAcentral.